CUUUCCCUCUUUCUUCAGGCCUAACACAUGCAAGUCGAACGGUAACAGGAAGAAGCUUGCUUCUUUGCUGACGAGUGGCGGACGGGUGAGUAAUGUCUGGGAAACUGCCUGAUGGAGGGGGAUAACUACUGGAAACGGUAGCUACUACCGCAUAACGUCGCAAGACCAAAGAGGGGGACCUUCGGGCCUCUUGCCAUCGGAUGUGCCCAGAUGGGAUUAGCUAGUAGGUGGGGUAACGGCUCACCUAGGCGACGAUCCCUAGCUGGUCUGAGAGGAUGACCAGCCACACUGGAACUGAGACACGGUCCAGACUCCUACGGGAGGCAGCAGUGGGGAAUAUUGCACAAUGGGCGCAAGCCUGAUGCAGCCAUGCCGCGUGUAUGAAGAAGGCCUUCGGGUUGUAAAGUACUUUCAGCGGGGAGGAAGGGAGUAAAGUUAAUACCUUUGCUCAUUGACGUUACCCGCAGAAGAAGCACCGGCUAACUCCGUG
This 490-nucleotide ribosomal RNA is filed under the name uncultured bacterium. RNAcentral's name for it is "partial 16S ribosomal RNA". It matches the Rfam family "Bacterial small subunit ribosomal RNA", at positions 36 to 507 of the family's 1533-position model. The record is from RNAcentral.